RNAcentral lists this ribosomal RNA (492 nucleotides) under uncultured bacterium. Its description in RNAcentral is "partial 16S ribosomal RNA". It matches the Rfam family "Bacterial small subunit ribosomal RNA", at positions 29 to 507 of the family's 1533-position model. The record is from RNAcentral.
AGUGAACGCUGGCGGUAGGCCUAACACAUGCAAGUCGAACGGCAGCACAGUAAGCGCUUGCUCUUACGGGUGGCGAGUGGCGGACGGGUGAGGAAUACAUCGGAAUCUACUUUUUCGUGGGGGAUAACGUAGGGAAACUUACGCUAAUACCUCAUACUACCUACGGGUGAAAGCAGUGGAUCUUCGUACCUUUCGCGAUUGAAUGAGCCGAUGUCGGAUUAGCUAGUUGGCGGGGUAAAGGCCCACCAAGGCGACGAUCCGUAGCUGGUCUGAGAGGAUGAUCAGCCACACUGGAACUGAGACACGGUCCAGACUCCUACGGGAGGCAGCAGUGGGGAAUAUUGGACAAUGGGCGCAAGCCUGAUCCAGCAAUACCGCGUGGGUGAAGAAGGCCUUCGGGUUGUAAAGCCCUUUUGUUGGGAAAGAAAAGCAGCAGGUUAAUACCCCGCUGUUCUGACGGUACCCAAAGAAUAAGCACCGGCUAACUUCGUG